UUUUAUGGAGAGUUUGAUCCUGGCUCAGAGUGAACGCUGGCGGCGUGCCUAAUACAUGCAAGUCGAACGAUGAAGCUUCUAGCUUGCUAGAAUGCUGAUUAGUGGCGCACGGGUGAGUAACGCAUAGGUCAUGUGCCUUUUAGUUUGGGAUAGCCAUUGGAAACGAUGAUUAAUACCAGAUACUCCCUACGGGGGAAAGAUUUAUCGCUAAGAGAUCAGCCUAUGUCCUAUCAGCUUGUUGGUAAGGUAAUGGCUUACCAAGGCUAUGACGGGUAUCCGGCCUGAGAGGGUGAACGGACACACUGGAACUGAGACACGGUCCAGACUCCUACGGGAGGCAGCAGUAGGGAAUAUUGCUCAAUGGGGGAAACCCUGAAGCAGCAACGCCGCGUGGAGGAUGAAGGUUUUAGGAUUGUAAACUCCUUUUGUUAGAGAAGAUAAUGACGGUAUCUAACGAAUAAGCACCGGCUAACUCCGUGCCAGCAGCCGCGGUAAUACGGAGGGUGCAAGCGUUACUCGGAAUCACUGGGCGUAAAGAGCGCGUAGGCGGGAUAGUCAGUCAGGUGUGAAAUCCUAUGGCUUAACCAUAGAACUGCAUUUGAAACUACUAUUCUAGAGUGUGGGAGAGGUAGGUGGAAUUCUUGGUGUAGGGGUAAAAUCCGUAGAGAUCAAGAGGAAUACUCAUUGCGAAGGCGACCUGCUGGAACAUUACUGACGCUGAUUGCGCGAAAGCGUGGGGAGCAAACAGGAUUAGAUACCCUGGUAGUCCACGCCCUAAACGAUGGAUGCUAGUUGUUGGAGGGCUUAGUCUCUCCAGUAAUGCAGCUAACGCAUUAAGCAUCCCGCCUGGGGAGUACGGUCGCAAGAUUAAAACUCAAAGGAAUAGACGGGGACCCGCACAAGCGGUGGAGCAUGUGGUUUAAUUCGAAGAUACACGAAGAACCUUACCUAGGCUUGACAUUGAGAGAAUCCGCUAGAAAUAGUGGAGUGUCUGGCUUGCCAGACCUUGAAAACAGGUGCUGCACGGCUGUCGUCAGCUCGUGUCGUGAGAUGUUGGGUUAAGUCCCGCAACGAGCGCAACCCCCUUUCUUAGUUGCUAACAGGUUAUGCUGAGAACUCUAAGGAUACUGCCUCCGUAAGGAGGAGGAAGGUGGGGACGACGUCAAGUCAUCAUGGCCCUUACGCCUAGGGCUACACACGUGCUACAAUGGGGUGCACAAAGAGAAGCAAUACUGCGAAGUGGAGCCAAUCUUCAAAACACCUCUCAGUUCGGAUUGUAGGCUGCAACUCGCCUGCAUGAAGCUGGAAUCGCUAGUAAUCGCAAAUCAGCCAUGUUGCGGUGAAUACGUUCCCGGGUCUUGUACUCACCGCCCGUCACACCAUGGGAGUUGUGUUUGCCUUAAGUCAGGAUGCUAAAUUGGCUACUGCCCACGGCACACACAGCGACUGGGGUGAAGUCGUAACAAGGUAACCGUAGGUGAACCUGCGGUUGGAUCACCUCCUUUCUAGA
Molecule: ribosomal RNA, 1510 nt
Filed under: Helicobacter pylori
Lineage: Bacteria; Pseudomonadati; Campylobacterota; Epsilonproteobacteria; Campylobacterales; Helicobacteraceae
Description: bacterial SSU rRNA
Rfam family: Bacterial small subunit ribosomal RNA
Source: RNAcentral